RNAcentral lists this unclassified non-coding RNA (214 nucleotides) under soil metagenome. RNAcentral's name for it is "partial contains 5.8S ribosomal RNA, internal transcribed spacer 2, and large subunit ribosomal RNA". The record is from RNAcentral.
AACAUCGCGCACCUGCGGGAACCUGCGGAAGGAUCAUUACAAGUGACCCCGGUCUAACCACCGGGAUGUUCAUAACCCUUUGUUGUCCGACUCUGUUGCCUCCGGGGCGACCCUGCCUUCGGGCGGGGGCUCCGGGUGGACACUUCAAACUCUUGCGUAACUUUGCAGUCUGAGUAAACUUAAUUAAUAAAUUAAAACUUUCAACAAUGGAUCU